Molecule: ribosomal RNA, 223 nt
Filed under: uncultured bacterium
Lineage: Bacteria
Description: partial 16S ribosomal RNA
Rfam family: Bacterial small subunit ribosomal RNA
Source: RNAcentral
AUUGAACGCUGGCGGCAUGCCUAAACACAUGCAAGUCGAAACGGUAACAGGGGCUUCGGCCCGCUGACGAGUGGCGGACGGGUGAGUAACGCGUAGGAAUCUUCCCAGUAGCGGGGGAUAGCUCGGCGAAAGCCGGAUUAAUACCGCAUACGCCUACGGGGAAAGGACGAGGGAGUCGCAAGACCUUGCACUAUUGGAUGAGCCUACGUCUGAUUAGCUAGUU